RNAcentral lists this ribosomal RNA (106 nucleotides) under Muribaculaceae bacterium. RNAcentral's name for it is "partial 23S ribosomal RNA". It matches the Rfam family "Bacterial large subunit ribosomal RNA", at positions 1 to 105 of the family's 2925-position model. Lineage: Bacteria; Pseudomonadati; Bacteroidota; Bacteroidia; Bacteroidales; Muribaculaceae. The record is from RNAcentral.
AAGGAAAGGAGACAAGGGCACAUGAAGGAUGCCUUGGCUGCCGGAGGCGAAGAAGGACGUGACAAGCUGCGAUAAGCCGCGGGGAGGAGCAAAUAUCCCCCGAUCC